RNAcentral lists this ribosomal RNA (467 nucleotides) under uncultured bacterium. Its description in RNAcentral is "partial 16S ribosomal RNA". It matches the Rfam family "Bacterial small subunit ribosomal RNA", at positions 29 to 507 of the family's 1533-position model. The record is from RNAcentral.
AGUGAACGCUGGCGGUAGGCCUAACACAUGCAAGUCGAACGGCAGCACAGUAAGAGCUUGCUCUUACGGGUGGCGAGUGGCGGACGGGUGAGGAAUACAUCGGAAUCUACUUUUUCGUGGGGGAUAACGUAGGGAAACUUACGCUAAUACCGCAUACGACCUACGGGUGAAAGCAGGGGAUCUUCGGACCUUGCGCGAUUGAAUGAGCCGAUGUCGGAUUAGCUAGUUGGCGGGGUAAAGGGCUAGCAAGGCGACGAUCCGUAGCUGGCCUGAGAGGAGGAUCGGACACACUGGGACUGAGACACGGCCCAGACUCGUACGGGAGGGAGGAGUGGGGAAUAUUGGAAAAUGGGCGAAAGACUGAUCCAGCCAUGCCGCGUGAGUGAUGAAGGUAUUAGGGUUGUACAGCUCUUUUACCCGGGAUGAUAAUGACAGUACCGGGAGAAUAAGCGCCGGCUAACUCCGUG